Molecule: ribosomal RNA, 496 nt
Filed under: uncultured bacterium
Lineage: Bacteria
Description: partial 16S ribosomal RNA
Rfam family: Bacterial small subunit ribosomal RNA
Source: RNAcentral
GAUGAACGCUAGCGGCAGGCUUAACACAUGCAAGUCGAGGGGUAGAGUUAGCUUGCUAACUUGAGACCGGCGCACGGGUGCGUAACGCGUAUGCAAUCUACCUUGUACAGAGGGAUAGCCCAGAGAAAUUUGGAUUAAUACCUCAUAGUAUUAUUGAAUGGCAUCAUUUGAUUAUUAAAGUUCCAACGGUACAAGAUGAGCAUGCGUCCCAUUAGCUAGAUGGUAAGGUAACGGCUUACCAUGGCAACGAUGGGUAGGGGUCCUGAGAGGGAGAUCCCCCACACGGGUACUGAGACACGGACCAGACUCCUACGGGAGGCAGCAGUGAGGAAUAUUGGUCAAUGGGCGCAAGCCUGAACCAGCCAUGCCGCGUGCAGGAAGACGGUCCUAUGGAUUGUAAACUGCUUUUAUACGGGAAGAAACCCUGCUACGUGUAGCAGCUUGACGGUACCGUAAGAAUAAGCAUCGGCUAACUCCGUGCCAGCCGCCGCUGUAA